GAUGAAGAACGUAGCGAAAUGCGAUAAGUAAUGUGAAUUGCAGAAUUCAGUGAAUCAUCGAAUCUUUGAACGCACAUUGCGCCCGCCAGUAUUCUGGCGAGCAUGCCUGUCUGAGCGUCAUUUCAACCCUCAUGCCCCUAGGGCGUGGUGUUGGGGAUCGGCCAAAGCCCGCGAGGGACGGCCGGCCCCUAAAUCUAGUGGCGGACCCGUCGUGGCCUCCUCUGCGAAGUAGUGAUAUUCCGCAUCGGAGAGCGACGAGCCCCUGCCGUUAAACCCCCAACUUUCCAAGGUUGACCUCAGAUCAGGUAGGAAUACCCGCUGAACUUAAGCAUAUCAAUAGCGGAGGA
This 347-nucleotide unclassified non-coding RNA is filed under the name soil metagenome. RNAcentral describes it as "partial contains 5.8S ribosomal RNA, internal transcribed spacer 2, and large subunit ribosomal RNA". The stretch from base 1 to 120 matches the Rfam family "5.8S ribosomal RNA", at positions 35 to 154 of the family's 154-position model. The record is from RNAcentral.